This 252-nucleotide ribosomal RNA is filed under the name uncultured bacterium. Its description in RNAcentral is "partial 16S ribosomal RNA". It matches the Rfam family "Bacterial small subunit ribosomal RNA", at positions 525 to 776 of the family's 1533-position model. The record is from RNAcentral.
ACGGAGGGUGCAAGCGUUAUCCGGAAUCACUGGGUUUAAAGGGUGCGUAGGUGGUUGAAUAAGUCAGAGGUAAAAGAUUGUCGCUUAACGAUAAAAUGUCCUUUGAUACUGUUCGACUAGAAUGAGGUUAAGGUAGGCGGAAUGUGACAUGUAGCGGUGAAAUGCAUAGAUAUGUCAUAGAACACCAAUUGCGAAGGCAGCUUACUAGGCCUAUAUUGACACUGAGGCACGAAAGCGUGGGGAGCAAACAGG